This is a long non-coding RNA of Bos taurus (domestic cattle), 7194 nucleotides long. NCBI's taxonomy places the organism in Eukaryota, Metazoa, Chordata, Mammalia, Artiodactyla, Bovidae. The record is from Ensembl.
UGGUGGGCAGGGUGGGGUGGGGUGCGGCGGGGUGGGCACAGGCUAGGCUCUAAGUCCAGGUGUCUGGAAAGACCUUCCAGGUCUCCCAUCAACUUCUUCUUUUAAAAUAUGUUUGUUUAUUUGGCCGUGCUGGGUCUUAAUUGCAGCCCGUGGGAUCUUACGUCCCUUCCAGGAACUGAACCCCCAUCCCCCGCAUUGGAAGGCAGACUCGUAACCACUGGACCGCCAGUGAAGUCCCUCCCACCACAUCCCAGACACGUUCUCUGCCCCGGUUUUCCUUCCCUCUUAUCCUUCAGGGCUGGGAGAGUAUGGCAAACUCAUUUGUCCAAAGUACUGGGGACCCAGGUCACAACCUGCAGCCGGGUAAAUUUACACAGAAAGGCACCCAAGCUGGGCAGGGCGACGCUCAGUGUAAAGGAACGACUCUCUAACGCGAUUCAGUGAGAUCCUGCUGGGUGGAGAGACACACUCAGGCAGGGUGCCCCCGAAUCACAGCCCAGAGGCGACAGCCCGCCUUCCCUAACCCCAUAAUGGGCACAUCCGUGCAGCAAGAGCCACCGGGCCCUGCUCCCUGUGCCGUUGCCGAACGCCACGUGCCUUCCCCGCUGUAUUUCCAGCCUUCACGGCAGCCCUGCGAACUCGGGAGCUUUGCGCUUGCUUUACUAAUAGCAGCAAGGCACAGGCAAGCCUGUCCCCAGAGCCUGCGUUCCUGCUCACUUACAUCCACGUUGUUCAGUCUGCAGGCUGUCACCCACUCGUGGGGUGUGAAAUCAGUGCAGUGGAUCCUGAGCACAACUUUUUAAUAGAAUAAGGUGGAAGAGAGCUUAAAAAAAAAAACAAAAAGCAGUUCACACCGUCAUGGAAGGCUGCUGUCAUAAAGCUGUGGCUUCAGGUGGGUAUGUGUGCGUGUUGUUGGAAAAUGGGGAUGAAAAUACAUUUCUCACAGUGAGUUUAAUCGAAACGUUCAAAAGUCAUUGCCUCACACUGUUGUCUCCUGGCUGCUGCUGGAAAGUGGCUUCCUUUCUUCCUGGGAGGACUGAGCGCAUGGGGUACUCCUCCAGGACACUCAGAGCAAGAGCGGGGGCAAGAAGCCGCCGUCGCCCUCCACCAGGAGCUCAUCCCGUUCAGAUGUUCCAGGCUGGUUUUCCACAACCCCCACCUCCCAGCUGAUCCCGGAGGCCAGCCCCAGGGGAAGGAGGCUACACGGCAGGCUGAGGGAUGAAGGUCACACACCAGGAAGACUUCCACGAGAGAGUGCUGGAGUCCACAGGGAGCAGAGCGAGAGGCGUGACGAUACAGCCUGCAUCCCGGAAGUCGUUUUUAAAAUUUCUUUAUUUUUUUUAACCCAUCCUUGAAGGUGAAAAUCAUGAAUGAAGCCGUAAAAGGAAAGAUGACGUGUCCGUGGCUCCUUUUUCAACGGCACGUGGACAGAGAACGCAAGCAGACCACGUGAUCCAUCGAGCCAAAACCCUCUGUUGUUCUGCACGCUUACUGCUACUUCGCUGCUGCCGAUUGUUAAUUACUGUCAGGUAACACUUGGGAGAUUAAUGGACCUCUCAGUCGAAACAAUAAAGGCUAUUAAACUCACCUGGCAGAAAGCUGAGAGCGAGUUUUGCUGUGCUGCUCUUCCUGCCGCUGGGUGAUCCUGCAUCUCAGCCCACUGUCUCCUCAGUCCUGCUCACAACUAUUUGAGAGAGAAUCCUGAUCCUCCCGGACCACGGACCGAGCCCGUGUCUCCUACACUGGCAGGCGGAUUCCUUACCCGUGAGCCGCCAGCGAAGCCCCCUGGUGGGCCUGCAAAGCAGAGGCUGGUUUUCCAUCUAGAGCAGCUCGGCCGCUGUUUUCUGCAGGCAGACGAGGCGUUCCCGGGAAGAACCCUGGAGUGGGAUUUAGGAGGCCCAGCUCAGCCAACAAAAACCCGAAAGCAAAUCACACCCGUGAGCCUCACUUUCCUCAUCUGUAAAAUGGAAUAAUGGCCUGGAUCAGCAGAGUCCAAUGGAAAUACAAUGGGAGUCAUAAGUGUUGUAGCAGCCACAUAAAAAAGUGAAAAUGAAUAAGUGAAACUAGUUUCAAUAAUGUUAUUUAACCUAACAUACCCAAAACAUCUUCAAGCUGUAUUCAAUAUAAAAAAGUAUUAAGGGGGGAAUUCGCUGGUGGUUCAGUGAUUAGGACUCUGAGCUUCUACCGCAGGGCGCUCAGGUUCCAUGCCUGGUCGGGAAACUAAGAGCCAGCAUGCUGCAAGGAAGCGGUGAAGAUGAAGCGAAAGACUGCCCUGAAAGAGACGGCCACGGCACUGGAACCACAUCAGGGUCUUUUCAAACAAGUCAGCUCUUCGCAUCAGAUGGCCAAAGUAUUGGAGUUUCAGCUUCAGCAUCAGUCCUUCCAGUGAAAACUCCGGACUGAUCUCCUUUAGGACGGACUGGUUGGAUCUCCUUGCAGUCCAAGGGACUCUCAAGAGUCUUUACAACACCUCAGUUCAAAAGCAUCACAUCAAUGAAGAGGUCAAAAUCUCUGGCAGCAAGUGAGGCUGGAUACAAGUGCUCUGCACCUUCUCUCAACCUCUUGCAGGGCUGGUCCCUCUCACCGGCUGGCCCGGCCCUGGCCCAAGGGGGCUCACCUCCAUCACUUGGAGUAGAAAGGAGAAAGCCUGUCACUCCCAGCAUUCCCAGCUCCAAGUCCUGGGAUUCACUCUGAUUGGUCCUGCUUUGGUCACAUGUUCACCUCUGAGCCAAUCCCUGUGGCCAGAGAAACAGAACGCACCAAUUGGCUUAGUUUGAAUCACGGGCUCCAGUCCUUGGUCCCUGCUCUGGUAAGAGAAAUGGGAAAGGGGAGAUGGAUGCUUGGAGAAGCAGAGAGCAAGUCUCUAUUCCCUCAGGCUCUGGUUCCAUUUCUGCCGCUGCCUGGUCAUGUGACCUGGGCCAUCCAUUCCCCUUUAUAGGCUCAGUGGACUACAGUAAAUGAUUUAAAAUCUUGACUUCAUUUUUUUUUUUUUUUUAACUUUUUUUCAAACUCUUACAUGGAAGUGCACUGUGUGAGUCAGGUCCAACCGGACAGUCUGUCCUGGAGGUGGGGGAAGGGCGAGGCCCCUCGGCCUCCAGGCCCCCUUCCUUGCCCCGUGGGGGCCCCAGGAUUCCCACUGUCCCCGCCACCCUGGCAGCCCACGGCCACCUGAGUCAGCAUGAGCCCUGCACCUCUCCUGCACACCAUCCAGGGAACCCUGGACACGGCGAGGUGGCAGCCGCAGGGUCUCAGUGUCCAAAGGGGAGGCUAGGGAUUUGUGAACCCCACUCCCACCAAGGCCCAGCCCCUCAGCACCCUCAGCUGUUUCAGAAAGUCCCUGUCCCUGACCAUGACCUCACCCUGACAAGGAAAUGGUGGGCGUGGGACGGUACAGGCAGAGACUUUAUCUCUGUGGGCGGCUGGGCCAGAAGCCAGGCUGGGGGAGAGAGGGUGACAGCUGUGAACAGAGCCACCUUUGACUCUGGAGGACAAUGCCCUCCCAGUGUCCCCAUAACCCCUUCCUGGUCCCCAGAGCAGGUUAGGUCAAUACUGAGUUGUUUCAAGAUGAUCAUAAAGAGUGACAGCCAAGCUCCUCUCCUACCCUGGCAAUUCGCAGUGCAUAAAAUCCUUUCCUGCUCUUUGGCUCAAUUUUUUUUUUUGUUUAAAAAAUGCAUUGGGGGGUUGCACCACAUCUUGAAGCAAAUAGGACCUUUGAUCUUCGUUGCAGCCUGAGGGAUCUGUAGUUGCAGCAUGUGGGAUCUUGUUCCUCGACCAGAGAUCGAACCCGGGCCCCUGCACUGGGAGUGUGGAGUCCACCAGGAAGUCCCAGCUCAACUGUUUUUGACAACAGCCACAAGAGGCAGCGAGACAAGGGUUAGGUCCCAUUGUGUGAGCUGACAUUGACUGAGCCCCUGUUAAAAUGUUAGUCACUCAGUCGUGUCCGACUCUUUGUGACCCCAUGGACUGCAGCCCCCCGGGCUGCUCUGUCCACAGGAUUCUCCAGGCAAGAAUACUAAAGUGGGGCGCCAUUCCCUUCUCCAAGAGAUCUUCCCGACCCAGGGAUCAAACCCAGGUCUUCUGCAUUACAGGCGGAUUCUUUACCAUCUGAGCCACCAGGGAGCCCCUGCCCUGCGCUAAAUACCUUGUCGACUCAUGUCACCCUCAGUACUGAGAGGAGGCAGGCAGGCACUGUUGUUAUCCCUGUCUCCGAAGAGAACUCUGCAGAGACUUGGGUAGGUGAGCCCAAGCCACUCAGCUGGACAUGGCGAAGCUUCCUCCUGAACCCGUGUCUUCAACUCAAACCAUACGAGGAGCAGUUGACGCAACCACAGCUGCUGUUUCUGUGGAAGAAUAGACUGUCACCUUCGGCAAGUCCUCAAAGGACAGAAUAGGAGAGAAGGAGUGCGUGGGAAUUCUGAGGACAGAGCGAUGCCAACACCAGGAUGCUGCAGGGACACAGAUGCUGACUGGACCUGAGAAAGAACACGGUGACACCCAGAGCUGAGACCAAGGGGAGGGCAGCCUGGUGAGGCCGCGUGCGGGCGGAGGCUGGAUGGCACCGUGUACCUGGGGUUCCCACACUGCUGGGGGCUGGGCAAACACGGUCCCAAUGCUGGAGUUAGAAGUUUUAUGUAUUUCACUAGCAGACCCCGUCUCCGGCCUCAGCCCUCCCCACCCACUCUCCAGAGAACAUCCCUCCACCGUCUUCACCAAACUACCCGAAACUUAGCCGCAUACAACCGCCACCUUAUUACGCUCAGAGUCUUGUUGGUCAAGAGUGGACAGAGCCCAUCGGGGAUGCCCUGACCCCGCUCUGUGAUGUUUGGGGCCUCAGCUGGGAAAACUCAAUGCUGAGUGCCUCUGUGGGUGGGGCUGGAACCAUCUGGAGAGGUCUUCGCUCACAUGCCUGGUUGCUGAUGCGGGCCAUCAGCAGGACCUCAGCAGGGCUGUUGGCUGGACCACUUACCCAGGGUCUCUCCAAGCAGAUGAGUUUGGGCUUCCUCCCAGCAUGGCAGGCGGGUUCAAAGAACAAAUAUCCUGAGAGAGCAAGGUGGCAAAGCAUUUUUAUGAACUGACUUUGGAGAUCACAGAGUGUCAUCCACAAAGCUCCACCGUGUACCUAGGAAGCCCCUCCCGGGCCCAAGGAAGCGGACAGAGACCCCAGCACUGGAGGGGAGGAAUGUCAAAUCACGUUGAAAGAAGAGCAAGCGAGAUUGGAGAGCAUGCUAUAGCCGUCUUCGGAAAAAAGAAAAAAACCCGCGACACAGGCCCCUUCGGAUGGGGUUCCAGCCCUCAGCCUGGAUGAUGGGGUCCCACUUACGCCUCACUGGUCUCUGCACACGCACUUCCUUGGGACUAGAAAACUCAUCCACCAUCCCAAUCCACGCCCCCCUUUGCCUGGCCCAGCCCUACUUGCCCUCCACGGCUCAGCAGGGACACCACCUCCUCCCAGGAAGCCUGCCCUGAACCCUGCCCCCACCGCAGCCGAGAUGGGGCCCCCUUUCGACCACAGCCACAUGUGACCUGCUGGGUGCAGCGGCUUCUCUACUCUGCGAUCUCUAAUAAGAGGGUGGGCCCCACGAGGGCGUGAAUGGUGUUCACCACGUGUCUACCACUAUCUCCCCAGCACUGGGCCAAAUUCCAGCCCCUUUCUGGGUCCUGCUGAUGGACAGCCCACAGCCACUUCCCCCGGGAAGCCUUCCCGGGUUGUCCACGUGUGAGGUGUGUCUCCGGCUCUCCCGCAGGCCCCACUGCAGGCGUGUGGGAAGGCUGGGAUGAAAGCCCGGCGCUCCGCCCCUGUUCCCAAGCCAGAGCUUGUUAUUGCAGUAAAAGAGGCAGCAAAUUACCAGACGGGCUGGGAGCUGUAAUGAUUAAAACAGCGUAUUGUUCUUGGGGCUGCUAAUUGCAUACCUGAGAAAUGAGGCCUGCUCAGCCGUGGUGCCAGGCCCAGCCUGGCAGGGAGCCAGACACAGCCAGGCGACAGGGCAGAAGGGGGUGUCCCAGAAGCAGCAUGUCCCCAAAGGGAGUGGCUGAGCAGCCUCACUGGGGGGCCCCACUGAAAAUACAGAUUUCCAGGCCCUGGCUCAGACCCACUAACGCUGUAUCUGCGGGGGCAGGCCCAGGACCAUGGAUUCUUGACAAGCUCCCAAGGUGAUUCUGAAGGUCCAAGCCUGGGUUUCUGACUGCCCCACCCCAGAGCCAGAUGGAGGCCCGCCUCACUGGCCCAGUUCACCUGGAGAAUGAGGCAAGGCUGAGAGAGUGGCUGCGGGGGAGGGCAUGGAGAGGGCGGUUUCCCCGGGAACUCGGGUCAGAUCUCUUCCACAUGAGCUGGGGGACCCGGGGAGGGUCAGCUCGCCCCUCUGAGCACAGGCUGAUUUUCCCGGAAGCCAAGGGAGCGUAGGCUCGCAGAGCCCCCCGAGAAUCCGAGAGGGAGUUCACCAGGGGGUCCACCCAGCUGGCGUGUGUUGGGCCAUUUACAGAAGUAAGAUGCUUUGGUCUUCUUAGAGUCUCUCCAAAUUGCGUAGGCUUUGGGCUCGCCUAGAAUUGCAAGAGCCAUCACAGGGUGCUGCGGGGAUGGAAGGGGCAGAUGUAGAUCAAGCUGCAGCCCAGAGCCCGGCCACCAAGCGCUCAGGGAGAGAGCGCCUCCGCGUCCUCACCCGUGAGAGGGCCGUGGGGCCGCGGCUCCCUCCUGACGCCGUGCAAGCGUCCGAUGGGUGAAUACAGACGAAGCGCCCAGCUCAGCCCCUGGAGCAGGGCAAGUGCUCUGCACGCCUGGCCAGGCGUGACCCGCCGACGAGCAACCGUGGGACCCAGCGAGUGUGUGAGCAAGCGAGCAGGCCAGCUCGCGAGGGACACGUGAUGCGUGUGGAACCCUGUUCCCCGGAAACGCACAAAGACGCUGAGACCCCCUUUCGCCAAGCCAGUCUAAGAACCGGCCUGCCAAGGGGCAGGGGGCUGGGCUCAGCGACCCAGAUUUCCUGUAGGUCAGGACAAGAGCGACAGAAAAGCCUGGACCUUUGGCCAGUGGUUUCUGGGAAGACACCUGGAUCAGAGGAGGCUGGAAGGCUAGAACAGGAGGAGGGCUGGGGGCCGGAGUUUCAUCCAGGGCAACCCCGCUCCUGUACUCCCGGUUCUACCAGCAAUCAUGAAUGACAUUUUCAUGGAGGACUUCCUGGAGGAGGCGACUUUUGAGGG